AAUCCCGCGCGGCUCAGAGAUGGGUUUCUGGACUCGCGAAGCAGCUGCAACAAGGCAUCACUCACUGUAUAAGUAUUUCCAUUUCUGAGAGCAAAAGGAAGAACUUAAGCGGGCGGCACUUGGAGUGUAAAUUGCUUUGUAGUAUUUAAAGGCAGAAUGGAUCCUGGGCAGCCGAGCUGAUCAUGAGGUUCCUGAGGCCUCCUAGCCAUGCUUCCUGUGCAGCCUAUGGAACUGAUCACUGUUGUAUUUUUAAACCUUAUUCCUGGAAGCACUACGGAUAUCAGAUCAAUUUAGAAAGCCAAAGAGUACCUCUGGGAAUGAAAUGGUAGUAAUAGAAACAAUAUUUGGCCAAACUAUCGCUGUAUGCCAAUGAUGCCAAAAAUCACAGUAACCUGGCAGCAACAAACCGGCAGGACUUCCUGUGAAAUCAUGACCACCAUGUGCUCUUUCAGCCUCUAUCAGUUCCUACCUCUAAGCACCUGAGAGCCAAAGCAAACCACAGGAAACCACAGACUCAAACUAAACGUCAGCUUUUCCCGGCUCUCAAGCCUGCUGGUCCCUGAACUAAAACUCACAUUAUCAACUCUACUGGUU
This 594-nucleotide long non-coding RNA is filed under the name Homo sapiens (human). RNAcentral describes it as "non-protein coding LINC01322:5". The record is from RNAcentral. Lineage: Eukaryota; Metazoa; Chordata; Mammalia; Primates; Hominidae.